RNAcentral lists this ribosomal RNA (245 nucleotides) under uncultured Rhodococcus sp. RNAcentral describes it as "partial 16S ribosomal RNA". It matches the Rfam family "Bacterial small subunit ribosomal RNA", at positions 524 to 768 of the family's 1533-position model. The record is from RNAcentral. Lineage: Bacteria; Bacillati; Actinomycetota; Actinomycetes; Mycobacteriales; Nocardiaceae.
UACGUAGGGUGCGAGCGUUGUCCGGAAUUACUGGGCGUAAAGAGCUCGUAGGCGGUUUGUCGCGUCGUCUGUGAAAACCCGCAGCUCAACUGCGGGCUUGCAGGCGAUACGGGCAGACUUGAGUACUGCAGGGGAGACUGGAAUUCCUGGUGUAGCGGUGAAAUGCGCAGAUAUCAGGAGGAACACCGGUGGCGAAGGCGGGUCUCUGGGCAGUAACUGACGCUGAGGAGCGAAAGCGUGGGUAG